RNAcentral lists this microRNA precursor (206 nucleotides) under Oryza sativa Japonica Group (Japanese rice). Its description in RNAcentral is "MIR812 microRNA precursor family". It matches the Rfam family "MIR812 microRNA precursor family". Lineage: Eukaryota; Viridiplantae; Streptophyta; Magnoliopsida; Poales; Poaceae. The record is from Rfam by way of RNAcentral.
AAUAAGUGCAGUUUUGCACUAUUCACGUUUAACGUUUGACCGUUCGUCUUAUUUGAAUUUUUUUAUAAUUAGUAUUUUUAUUGCUAUUAGAUGAUAAACAUGAAUAGUACUUUAUAUGUGACUAAAUAUUUUCAAUUUUUUCAUAAAUUUUUUAAAUAAGACGGACGGUUAAACAUUGGGCACGGAUAUCCACGACUGUACUUAUU